UACGAAGGGGGCUAGCGUUGUUCGGAAUUACUGGGCGUAAAGCGCACGUAGGCGGAUGUUUAAGUUAGGGGUGAAAUCCCAGGGCUCAACCCUGGAACUGCCUCUAAUACUGGGCAUCUAGAGUCCGAGAGAGGUGAGUGGAAUUCCGAGUGUAGAGGUGAAAUUCGUAGAUAUUCGGAGGAACACCAGUGGCGAAGGCGGCUCACUGGCUCGGUACUGACGCUGAGGUGCGAAAGCGUGGGGAGCGAACAGG
This 253-nucleotide ribosomal RNA is filed under the name uncultured bacterium. RNAcentral's name for it is "partial 16S ribosomal RNA". It matches the Rfam family "Bacterial small subunit ribosomal RNA", at positions 524 to 776 of the family's 1533-position model. The record is from RNAcentral.